Hyaena hyaena (striped hyena) is the source of this 478-nucleotide long non-coding RNA. RefSeq lists it as uncharacterized. The transcript has 2 exons. Lineage: Eukaryota; Metazoa; Chordata; Mammalia; Carnivora; Hyaenidae. The record is from RefSeq and is a predicted model, not a curated record.
AACUCUUUGCUAUCCUUCCAAAGCCUCACCUUCUCUUGUGUUUGGUCUCCUGCAGGUCCUACGUGAUCUGUAUGGCCCUGCUACUUGUUUGGGAUGAGUGAAAGAGCCCUUCAGAUCUAAGGUGAAGGAGAGGGGCAGAGCCCCCAGAGGCACUGGCUUCAGGGUGGCCCCCAAUGUCCCCUGCUUCCUGUCAUUCCCUUCCUUGUGCAUUCUCCUCCUACACUGUAUCAGGGAAGGGUCCUGUGAAGAGGGUCACAUAGAAGGAACUGAGACCUCCUGCCCACAGUCCUAUGAGGGAGCCAUCUUGGAAGCAGACCCUCCAGCCCCAGUCAAGCCUUCAGAUGAAUGCAGUGCUGGCCAACACCUUAACUGAAGACUCGUGAGAGACUUAGCCAAAAUCACUCAUCUACACUGCUUCUGGGUUCCUGACCUUCAGAAACUGCGUUAAGAUAUAUAUAUAUAUUUGCUGUUUCAAACA